AUCAGAUGUCAAGUCUAUCUGUAUGAGUUUCCUCAGUGUUUCUUCAGAGCUUUUUGGAGGUCCAUCUACCUUGUCAAAUACUGACUMUGCCUGUUUGAGCUGAAUGAUUUCUUAGUUAUUGACAACUGCGUACGCUUGGGUGAACCUGGCUGGAGCACUCGCAAAUAAGGCKCAAAGAUCUGCAGCACAAGUUCUUCAGAGCUUGUCUGAGAAGAUCCUCAUCUGGAAGGCAAUCAGCAUCUCUGUCUGUUUGCGAAGAGUUGCUACUGCUAUCUAAGCCCUGGGAUAAGGAGCCGAUCUCAGACCCUGUCUGUGCUGAACUGCUAAGAAGAGGAAGAGAAGAGGCAGAAGCCUCCGGCAUUUAUAGAUUGGCACCACCACGCCAAGCCYGUUCGUUGGCCGCUUCAGCAGGGAGGCGGAGGAGUGGAAAGGCUGAGGGUGCUGAGCACCGUUCCUCCGGGGCAGCCCCACGGUGUUGUGGUGAGGCCGGAGGUGAGGCUGGCAGGACCGGGUCGAUCUGUGGGUCCUGCAGCUCUCGCAGGGCUCUGGGGAGCAUCCGCUCCUAGAACUCAUGCCUGGCAAUUGCGUGCUGUUAGGGGACAGUGCUGCUAUCAGAAAGGAC
Molecule: long non-coding RNA, 622 nt
Filed under: Dromaius novaehollandiae (emu)
Lineage: Eukaryota; Metazoa; Chordata; Aves; Casuariiformes; Dromaiidae
Description: lncRNA (ENSDNVG00000002729.1)
Source: RNAcentral